Molecule: ribosomal RNA, 806 nt
Filed under: Clostridium fallax
Lineage: Bacteria; Bacillati; Bacillota; Clostridia; Eubacteriales; Clostridiaceae
Description: bacterial LSU rRNA
Rfam family: Bacterial large subunit ribosomal RNA
Source: RNAcentral
CCACUCAUUUAAAGAGUGCGUAAUAGCUCACUAGUCGAGAGAUCCUGCGCCGAAAAUGUUCGGGGCUCAAACUUACCACCGAAGCUACGGGCUUAAGUUAAACUUAAGCGGUAGAGGAGCGUCGUAAUCGGGCUGAAGUCGUACCGGAAGGAGCGGUGGACUGAUUACGAGUGAGAAUGUUGGCAUUAGUAGCGAGAUGUGAGUGAGAAUCUCACAGGCCGAAAACCUAAGGUUUCCUCAGGAAGGCUCGUCCGCUGAGGGUUAGUCGGGACCUAAGCCGAGGCCGAAAGGCGUAGGUGAUGGACAAUCGGUUGAUAUUCCGAUACCACUAUUAAUCGUUAAAACCGAAGGCGUAACGCAGGAGGAUAGGAUGUGCUAGCUAUUGGAUGCUAGUCUAAGCACUUAGGGAGUUCAGCAAGGCAAAUCCGGCUGAACAAUUCUGAGGUGUGAUGGGGAAGGAACUACGGUUCCGAAGUAUCUGAUUCCACGCUGCCAAGAAAAGCGUCUAGGGAGAGAGGUAGUGCCCGUACCGCAAACCGACACAGGUAGGUGAGGAGAGAAUCCUAAGGCCGGCGGAAGAAUCACAGUUAAGGAACUCGGCAAAUUGACCCCGUAACUUAGGGAGAAGGGGUGCCUACGCAAGUAGGCCGCAGAGAAUAGGCCCAAGCAACUGUUUAGCAAAAACACAGGUCUCUGCUAAAGCGAAAGCUGAUGUAUAGGGGCUGACGCCUGCCCGGUGCUGGAAGGUUAAGGGGAAUACUUAGCGCAAGCGAAGGUAUGAACUUAAGCCCCAGUAAACGGCGGCC